Molecule: ribosomal RNA, 403 nt
Filed under: uncultured Eubacteriales bacterium
Lineage: Bacteria; Bacillati; Bacillota; Clostridia; Eubacteriales
Description: bacterial SSU rRNA
Rfam family: Bacterial small subunit ribosomal RNA
Source: RNAcentral
UGGGGGAUAUUGCACAAUGGGGGGAACCCUGAUGCAGCGACGCCGCGUGGGUGAAGGAGUGCUUCGGCAUGUAAAGCCCUAUCGGCAGGGAAGAAGCAAGACGGUACCUGACUAAGAAGCCCCGGCUAACUACGUGCCAGCAGCCGCGGUAAUACGUAGGGGGCGAGCGUUAUCCGGAUUCACUGGGUGUAAAGGGAGCGUAGACGGCCAUGCAAGCCAGGGGUGAAAGCCCGGGGCCCAACCCCGGGACUGCCCUUGGAACUGCAUGGCUGGAGUGCGGGAGGGGCAGGCGGAAUUCCUGGUGUAGCGGUGAAAUGCGUAGAUAUCAGGAGGAACACCGGCGGCGAAGGCGGCCUGCUGGACCGCGACUGACGUUGAGGCUCGAAAGCGUGGGGAGCGAACA